AGAGUUUGAUCAUGGCUCAGGAUGAACGCUGGCGGCGUGCCUAAUACAUGCAAGUCGAGCGAACAGAUGAGAAGCUUGCUUCUCUGAUGUUAGCGGCGGACGGGUGAGUAACACGUGGGUAACCUACCUAUAAGACUGGGAUAACUCCGGGAAACCGGGGCUAAUACCGGAUAAUAUAUUGAACCGCAUGGUUCAAUGUUGAAAGACGGUUUCGGCUGUCACUUAUAGAUGGACCCGCGCCGUAUUAGCUAGUUGGUAAGGUAACGGCUUACCAAGGCAACGAUACGUAGCCGACCUGAGAGGGUGAUCGGCCACACUGGAACUGAGACACGGUCCAGACUCCUACGGGAGGCAGCAGUAGGGAAUCUUCCGCAAUGGGCGAAAGCCUGACGGAGCAACGCCGCGUGAGUGAUGAAGGUCUUAGGAUCGUAAAACUCUGUUGUUAGGGAAGAACAAAUUUGUUAGUAACUGAACAAGUCUUGACGGUACCUAACCAGAAAGCCACGGCUAACUACGUGCCAGCAGCCGCGGUAAUACGUAGGUGGCAAGCGUUAUCCGGAAUUAUUGGGCGUAAAGCGCGCGUAGGCGGUUUCUUAAGUCUGAUGUGAAAGCCCACGGCUCAACCGUGGAGGGUCAUUGGAAACUGGGGAACUUGAGUGCAGAAGAGGAGAGUGGAAUUCCAUGUGUAGCGGUGAAAUGCGCAGAGAUAUGGAGGAACACCAGUGGCGAAGGCGGCUCUCUGGUCUGUAACUGGCGCUGAUGUGCGAAAGCGUGGGGAUCAAACAGGAUUAGAUACCCUGGUAGUCC
RNAcentral lists this ribosomal RNA (807 nucleotides) under uncultured bacterium. RNAcentral describes it as "bacterial SSU rRNA". It matches the Rfam family "Bacterial small subunit ribosomal RNA", at positions 8 to 796 of the family's 1533-position model. The record is from RNAcentral.